CCUACGGGUGGCUGCAGUUUCGAAUCAUUCACAAUGGGCGAAAGCCUGAUGGUGCGACGCCGCGUGAGGGAUGAAGGUCUUCGGAUUGUAAACCUCUGUCACUGGGGAGAAAACGCUUUGAGUUAAUAGUUCAAAGCCUGAUUUAACCCGGAGAGGAAGCAGUGGCUAACUCUGUGCCAGCAGCCGCGGUAAUACAGAGACUGCAAGCGUUAUUCGGAUUCACUGGGCGUAAAGGGUGCGCAGGCGGCCGUGUGUGUUAGAUGUGAAAUCCCGGG
This 275-nucleotide ribosomal RNA is filed under the name uncultured Opitutus sp. Its description in RNAcentral is "partial 16S ribosomal RNA". It matches the Rfam family "Bacterial small subunit ribosomal RNA", at positions 338 to 606 of the family's 1533-position model. Lineage: Bacteria; Pseudomonadati; Verrucomicrobiota; Opitutia; Opitutales; Opitutaceae. The record is from RNAcentral.